ACAUUUCCGGGUUUCUCAGCAGCUGAAGUUAGUGAAUGGACUACAACAAUUAAUUUAUUUUUUGUGUGAAAUUUGAUGCAAAUGUAGUAUAACAUAUUAUUUUAUACAUACACGUAAAAAUAUAAAAUUUAUAAAAAUAUUUGGAGGAUUUACUACGUUGACCGUUGAAACGUACGUCAUCACGUCUUGCGUAGAGGCCAGUGUUUGCUAUGCGGUCGAAGCAUUGGAGAAGGUUGUCGCUUUUUAUCAGAAUUCUUACAAACAAAUUGAUGUCAACAAUGAAUAUGGAUGGCUCAGGAAUGAAGAAGGCCUUUGGAAAACACGGCUAUGUCGUGUUAUAAUAGGUGCACUACAGCAGUCCAAACCUUCAUUAUCAGAGGCUGAAAUAAAAAAAUACAGCUAAAAAAUCUCCGGUCUGCUCCCGAUAGAUGUGGGGGUAUGGGACGACAAAAGGGGAAAUCGGCGAUUGAUGUGUGUUCAGAUUCUGAAUAAGUAGGCCUUAAGCCAAUUGUUUAUCAAAAUUAUUUUUGUUCAUUUGGGAUAUGAUCUGGGAAAACCCAUCACAUGGUGAAAUAAAAAAUACUGGUUUUAGUAUCAUAUGAAAGCUAUUAAGCCCUUUCCAAAACUGUUUUUAUUUAAUUUACAAAUUGUUUUUAUGGAGUGGGUGGUCUAGUGGGUUAAACCACUGAACUGGUAAAUCAAAAGGUUGCUGGUUCUAUCCUAGUAGCCACCACCAGUGUGUCCUUGAGCAAGACACUUUACUCCCCGUUGCUCCAGGGGGAUUGUCCCUGUAAUAAGUGCACUGUAAGUCGCUUUGGAUAAAAGCAUCUGCUAAAUAACUACACGUAAAUGUAAAUGUUUUUAACAAAUGGAAAGGGCUUGAGAGCUUUCAUAUGAUAUCAAAACCUGUAAUAUGUACAAUUUUGUCAUGUGAUGGCUUUUUCCAGAUCACUUAAUAUUUAUAUAUCAAUUUAAAUGUUAAUAUUUAAUUAAAAAGUAAUUCAAGGAGGAUUUUAUAUUUAUUAGUGGUUUAAGAACAUUUUAAAUUUCUGGAAUUGUAGCUGAUUGUAUUUAAUAAAACAUGUCUUACAUUAA
Molecule: long non-coding RNA, 1095 nt
Organism: Triplophysa dalaica
Lineage: Eukaryota; Metazoa; Chordata; Actinopteri; Cypriniformes; Nemacheilidae
Exons: 3
Source: RefSeq, a predicted model, not a curated record